ACGUACCUGCGAUGUACGAGAAACGACUUUGUCACAAUCCCAAAAUCAAUUUAGGGAGGGCGAAACGAGCCGUUCCCGAUGUCAGGCCUCAGUAAUUUGCCCUAGGGCAGCAGGGGAAGGCAGACGGACGGGAUAGCCCACCCACCUGCUAACAGCGGGUUUUGUCAGUUGUGGAUACGGCAUUGUGGAUACACC
This 195-nucleotide non-coding RNA is filed under the name Clostridia bacterium. RNAcentral's name for it is "6S RNA". It matches the Rfam family "6S / SsrS RNA". From Rfam's summary of the family: E. coli 6S RNA was the first non coding RNA to be sequenced, but its function was unknown until recently. It consists of 184 nucleotides that fold into an extended hairpin structure with a large single-stranded internal bulge. The record is from RNAcentral. Lineage: Bacteria; Bacillati; Bacillota; Clostridia.